AGCGAACGCUGGCGGCAGGCUUAACACAUGCAAGUCGAGCGGGCACUUCGGUGUCAGUGGCAGACGGGUGAGUAACACGUGGGAACGUACCCUUCGGUUCGGAAUAACGCUGGGAAACUAGCGCUAAUACCGGAUACGCCCUUUUGGGGAAAGGUUUACUGCCGAAGGAUCGGCCCGCGUCUGAUUAGCUAGUUGGUGGGGUAAUGGCCUACCAAGGCGACGAUCAGUAGCUGGUCUGAGAGGAUGAUCAGCCACACUGGGACUGAGACACGGCCCAGACUCCUACGGGAGGCAGCAGUGGGGAAUAUUGGACAAUGGGCGCAAGCCUGAUCCAGCCAUGCCGCGUGAGUGAUGAAGGCCUUAGGGUUGUAAAGCUCUUUUGUCCGGGACGAUAAUGACGGUACCGGAAGAAUAAGCCCCGGCUAACUUCGUG
Molecule: ribosomal RNA, 433 nt
Filed under: uncultured bacterium
Lineage: Bacteria
Description: partial 16S ribosomal RNA
Rfam family: Bacterial small subunit ribosomal RNA
Source: RNAcentral